UACGUAGGGUGCGAGCGUUAAUCGGAAUUACUGGGCGUAAAGCGUGCGCAGGCGGUUUUGUAAGCCAGGUGUGAAAUCCCCGGGCUCAACCUGGGAAUGGCAUUUGGGACUGCAAGGCUCGAGUGCGGCAGAGGAGACUGGAAUUCCUGGUGUAGCAGUGAAAUGCGUAGAUAUCAGGAGGAACACCGAUGGCGAAGGCAGGUCUCUGGGCUGACACUGACGCUCAUGCACGAAAGCGUGGGGAGCAAACAGG
Molecule: ribosomal RNA, 253 nt
Filed under: uncultured bacterium
Lineage: Bacteria
Description: partial 16S ribosomal RNA
Rfam family: Bacterial small subunit ribosomal RNA
Source: RNAcentral